Molecule: transfer RNA, 77 nt
Filed under: Rhizobium quercicola
Lineage: Bacteria; Pseudomonadati; Pseudomonadota; Alphaproteobacteria; Hyphomicrobiales; Rhizobiaceae
Description: tRNA-OTHER
Rfam family: tRNA
About the family: Transfer RNA (tRNA) molecules are approximately 80 nucleotides in length. Their secondary structure includes four short double-helical elements and three loops (D, anti-codon, and T loops). Further hydrogen bonds mediate the characteristic L-shaped molecular structure. tRNAs have two regions of fundamental functional importance: the anti-codon, which is responsible for specific mRNA codon recognition, and the 3' end, to which the tRNAs corresponding amino acid is attached (by aminoacyl-tRNA synthetases). tRNAs cope with the degeneracy of the genetic code in two manners: having more than one tRNA (with a specific anti-codon) for a particular amino acid; and 'wobble' base-pairing, i.e. permitting non-standard base-pairing at the 3rd anti-codon position.
Source: RNAcentral
GGCCCGCUGGCGCAAUUGGAUAGCGCACCGGUUUUCUACCCUGGAGGUUCCUGAUUCGAGUUCAGGGCGGGCCACCA